Molecule: long non-coding RNA, 5738 nt
Organism: Syngnathus typhle (broad-nosed pipefish)
Lineage: Eukaryota; Metazoa; Chordata; Actinopteri; Syngnathiformes; Syngnathidae
Exons: 3
Source: RefSeq, a predicted model, not a curated record
AGCUAAUACAGGCGCCUGGGUCUCGGGUCCUUAACACAAAAACUCGUGUGCCUUCGUGACCAUCGAAGACAACACAUUCUUCCGGGUUGCCCAGUUUUAAAGAAACACAAUAUGAAUAUUCAAGCAUGCAAAAUAUUGUGUGGUGAUUGGUCGAUGGUCAUCUCCUCCUCGUUUGGGUUUUUCCCUGCUCAGCACAGGUGUCUGGACCACAAAGACGAGUUGUUAUUCGCGUUCCCCAUCGGCCUUGAGAUGUCGUUCCUGUCUGGACAUCCUGUUCCACAAUACUUUGAAGAAAACCAAUUAAUGUAGCCUGCACAUUCCUUUCCACUUAUUAAUCACCACACUACUACUAGAAAUGAUAUUGAUAUGAUUAUAUGUGUCUAACGCAGCCUUAAUCAAAUGUGUUUGCAAACUGCCGAAAGUACAUUUCCUUUUACUUCCCAAACCUUCAAUCAAUGUAUUAUGGCAGAGCUCCCCAACCCCGGGUCCACGGACCGGUACCGGUUCGUGGGUCACUUGGUACCGGGCCGCCAAACCGCACAGAAAAAAAAAAUUUUUUUUUUUUUUUUUAAUCGAUCAUUUCAUUCAGGCGCUCGUCCCGGUCACGAGAGAUGUUCCCCCAGUCGAGCCCGCAAAGCUAGCAAAAAUGAGUACACAUUUAUUUUGAAAAAUAUUUUAAAAAAUUGGCGUUUGUCUCCCAAUUACAUCCGUCGGUGCAUCUGUGUUAAUUCGAGUCAAGACGCUUAUCCCGGACACGUGAUGUCCCGCCAGUCAAGCCCGCGAAGCUAGCAAAAAUAAGCAAGAAACAGAAAUGUUUGGAAAGCUUCUUUGGAAAGAGAAAAAAGCCCAAUGAAGAGACUGAUGAAGAAGAAGCUACAACUUCUAAGAAAAGGAAAGCUACAUUUAAAAGAAAAUUUCUGGAGUCCUACUUAAAAUAUGGAUUCAUCGCCACAGGUGACUCUGACGAGCCAAGCCCACUCUGCUUAUGUGGCGGCGACAUGCUAGCUAGCGAGGCAAUAAAGCCUUUAUAACUGCUUCGGCACAUGGAGACCAAGCAUCCUGCAUUAAAAGAUAAAUCUUAACCACUUCCGGUGUGAUUGUCUCCGAUUACGCCUCGAUGGGACCGGCUCGUUUCUGAGAAACAAGCUCAGUGCUCCCACUAAUUCAACAUAAUGGUGAGUUUUACUUUUAUGUGGUUUAUACUUUUUAUUUCAUCGUAUUUAUAUAUUUAUUAGAAAUGUAUUACUGUUUUUUUUCGUUUAUAAUGCGCAAAAUUUAACUAAUUUAUUGUCCUAAAAUCUGGGGUGCGCAUUAUACAUGGGUACACAUUUUUUUUUUCUUUUUAAGAAAAUCAUGGUACAACAAAACCAACAACAGGACUGACCGACAAAGUCGUGGAACAAAAAGACAGGGUGACAUUACCAAAGACAGAAACAGAAACCAAACAGACAUCAUGACAGUAACACAUGCAAUGAUCCAACGGUGAGCGAGGGGCAGACAGGACUUAAAUACGAAACACGUUACAUUGAUUGAGGUGACACAGGAAGGGAGGGGCGACGCGAACAGAAACUAUGGCAACCUAGACACAUAGCAAAACUAGGGUCGAGGCAUGACAAAUUUCCCUUGAAAUAAAACUUGAAAUCACCUUUCUUCUUGUUUGUUGUCAAUCGCGCAUUGCAUUCACCCAUCCUGCCCAACACAGUCAGUAAAAUUUAUAAUUGACGACACAUCGUUUGAUGCGUUGGUGCAAUGCUUGAUGGUGUGUUAUUGUCAAAUAUUGUUUGUUUUUUAAUCUCCAUCGCAGACCGGAUAUCAUAUGGAGGCCGCCAUGACAGUAUGCGCAGAACGGAUGCGCAAGACACGUCAGCUAUAUAAAGAGCGAGAGUUGAGUUUUCUUCCUAUUAGUUUCAAUUCACAGUUUAAUUAGCAGUUUCAAUCAGCAAAUAACAAAAUGCGUAUUACAGGAAAUAUUUUAUUUCACAACACUUUGCCUUGUUCCUUUCGUCUCUGCUGUUCACUUCAAACACGCUCCAUACGAACGCAAUGCUCUCGUAUCAGACGCUUGCUCGAUCACCUGCUCGUUUGCUGUCACAAUGUACCCUACACAAAUCGGAAACAUUUGUUGCGGCUCCGAGUCACGAAGAGGGGCAAGUUUUGGUUUCCAAGGGUGUUUUUAUUCCUCUUCAACUUCUCUCCCAUACAGAGCCGCUUUUUUCACAUGUCUGCACUGAUCGCGGUGGUGCCUUUACGGGCAGUUGGAGAAAUCAACGCCAACAAAAAAAAAAUACAUCCAUCCUAGUUAAGACCAUACCAAAGACUAUAAAAAUGGGACCCAUUGCCUCCCUGCGUGUGUGACGAUCAUUGGGACUAUUUAUAUAAAUGUACUAUUUAUACAAAGGCCGGUCUGCGAAAAUAUUUCUGACAUGUAACCGGUCCGUGGCGCAAAAAAGGUUGGGGACCACUGGUCUAUCCAAUUUGCAGAAACAGAAACAAUUUUGAAAAAUAAAAAUGAGAGGAAAAGAGAGAAAUCUAUUUGCAGGCAGAAACUGAUCCACACUAGUGCAUAUUAGUGUCGAGCCCUCAUGGGAAAGUCGAAGAAAUAAAAACCAAAAAAACGACAGAACAUGCUUUCAGGAAUUGGAUGAGGCAAAAUUGUGAAUUUGAGACAUUGCAAUGCUCAAUUUAAUAGGAAUAAUUGAUUGGUUGUGUUAUAAGAUUAUAGAAGAUUCUAUGUGCGAGUUAAAUCAAAGUCAAAGUCACAGUCUGCUUUAUUGUCAAUUUCUUCACGUGAAGAAACACAAAGAGAUCGAAAUUACGUUCUCACUAUCCCACGGUGACAAGACAGUACACAAUAUACAUACAAGUAAACAAGAAGGCACAAACAAUGAAUAAAUAAUAAAUAAAGAGUGAGCGGGGUGACUCACAUCACUCACAAUCGUGGUCGCCUUGCGGGUGAGAUGGGAGGUGUAAAUGUCCUUCAGGGAGGGGAGUGAAGUACCAAUAAUCUUACCAGCUGUGUUCACUAUGCGCUGCAGGGCCUUCAAGUUGUAGUCAGUGCAGCCGCCACCCCAAACAGCAAUACAGCUGGAGAGGACGCUCUUAAUAGUGCCGCGGUAAAAUGUAGUCAUGACGGCCGGAGGAGCGCUUUCUCGCCUGAGUUCCCGCAGGAAGCACAGGCGGCGCUGAGCUUUCUUCGCCAGUGAUGCGGUGUUGGUGGACCAGGAGAGGUCCUCACUGAUGUGCACCCCCAGGAAUCUGGUGCUGCUCACUCUCUCCACCACAGCACCGUCGAUGGUCAGUAGCAGGUGUUCGGUGUGACCCUUCCGGAAGUCAACAACAAUCUGCUUGGUCUUGUUGACGUUCAGCGGGAGGUUGUUGUCCCUGCACCACGUGGCCAGAGGGUCGACCUCCUGUAUUGAGUCUCGUCGCCCCCGGUGAUGAGACCCACCAGAGUCGUGUCGUCGGCAUAUUUCAGCACGCGGUUGCUACUGUAAGUUGCAGUGCAGUCAUGCGUCAGCAGGGUGAAGAGCAGCGGACUGAGCACGCAGCCUUGGGGGGCCCCCGUGCUCAGCGUGAUGCUGGCGGAGAUUUUGUCGCCAACACGUACCACCUGAGGCCUCUGACAGAGGAAGUCCAAUAGCCAGUUGCAGAGGUCAACAACCGCUCCAAGCCAGGAGACUGGGACGACAUAAAGGUUGUCAAAAAGGACAAACUGGGCCAGCAAUGGUGGGAGGGACCAUUCCAAGUCUUGCUGACUACCCCCACUGCGCUGAACAUUGCUGGUAGGCCCAGCUGGAUUCACCUCAGCCACUGGACGUUACAGAGAUUGCUUGACCCCAUUUUCGGAUUGGGCGAAGUCUGACUACAAAGGGGCCUCAUCGUUUAGGGUGGGGCGUCUCAAUGUUGGUGAAGAAUCCAUAAGAUCCCCACUCCGACUAGGCAAUGGGAAAUAUCAGUGUCUCUGCUAUCCUAGUAGCAAGUGGGCUCCACAUGCCAGGUGGAUCCUCUGCUGCAUUGUGGUUGAAGCGUGCUAUGGUCUAUGGCUCAUCUGAAGAGACCAAUUGACAAUGUCGACCAAGGAAAAAGAUGGUCACAUGAUGAGAACUUUGAGGACUGGUGAUGGGACCCCAGAAACCCACACGAAACCAACACUUGGUACCGGGGUGUGACGUUCACUGUGAGAUCCCACACACAGGAGGGAUGCUAUGUGUGUUCCAAACACCCCCCACUUCCUCCACGCAAGUUCACCUGGAGCCAAGAACAAUGACUGUCACUGAAACGAAAUGCAUGACCUCUGUGGGAGGAGUUGGAUUUAAACACCGUGCUGUCACAGUCAGUGAUGCUACCCCUACCGCCCUGGACUCACAGAAAGGAACCUGUGAUCGAACUCUUUUGAAUUAAUCCCAAUGUGACUGUUGAAGGACAAUAGAUGCCACAAGUGGCCUAAACAAAAAGGCUAUCUGAAAUGGACUACACGUGUUUCAUCCAAGAAAAUUAAACCCACAAAUGCAUUAACGACUGCUCUCCAGGAGGAAACUGGAGCCCCCUCAAACAGAUGUCCUGCCCCCUCGAAUCAAACUUUUAGAAGUGAAAAAUCCGCUGAUAGAAACACACGUUAAUCAGCCCCCUCUCUUCUCUCAUGUCGGUGCAGUGUGUGUCCUCACACAGCCUGCUGUCAGGACUCUGCGCCCCUCCGUAAACAUCCAAUCACUAACCGGCCCUGUGUCCGAUGCUUCCUGCGAACUGGACAAGACUGUGCACCAGUGUGGGUGACCGACCACACCUACAGGAUGCAACAUCCUCAGCUGACGACAACACACAACUCUUCUGGACGUCAACGUAGGGCUGUUGCAGCCUUUGAACCACAUUACCCCGUCUGGGGUACGAAUGUCCCUGACAGCCACAAAGUGUGGUCCGUCGGAGACAAAGUCGUUCAUGCGCUUUUUCCUUGAAUCGGAGUUGGGAAACAAUCACUCUUCAUCGAGACACUGAACUAUCGUUUUCAAUCCUUUGUGAAUCUCUUGCUGCAAGUCAAUGAUGAACAAAACAGAGAGAUUCAGGCUAUUGGACUAAUAGUCUUGCAAAACAGGAUGGUUCUGGACUUGAUGACUGGAGAGCAAGUUGGCGUGUGCCACAUCAUUGGGACUUCCUGUUGCACAUACAUUCCAGGAGUUAAUGACACAUCAACGAUGCCGUGAACUCGCUGAAGAAUUUACAGCAGGCCAUGUUGGAGGAUAAAAUCCCACAUCAAUGGGAUUUCUUUUCAUGGCUGUUCUCUGGCGCUUGGUGGCAACUGCUGUUGAAACUUGUGACUCCUAUGAUUGUUGUGCUCAUUUACGACCUGUGUUAUCUCAUGUUUGGAUUCAGCUGUAUCAAGAUCUGUGUCUUCUACCAUAGCUGAAGUGUGAAUACAACAUCUCAGGUAUGUUGAAUGUGAUGAUUUUAAUGCGCUGCGGACAAAAGAUUGCAAUAAUGCUGAUUAGCUGAACGUUUUUCACAGAAACUUGACAAUUUGACCGUCAAACGCCUCACAAGUGAUGAAUACAAUGAUGUUUCUGUGUUUUUAUUUUUAUUUUUCUAUCUUCAUUAUAUUUUCUUGCUUAUGUUUGUUAAUCGGGGUGACAAUCAUAUGAUAAACAGGAGGGAUAUGUUAGAGUUGACAGAUUAGUUUCAUCCUAUGCUUAUGUUGGAAUGUAAUCUGUAAUAAUUAACUAAACGUGUCCUGUCUUAACAAAGUA